RNAcentral lists this ribosomal RNA (468 nucleotides) under uncultured bacterium. Its description in RNAcentral is "partial 16S ribosomal RNA". It matches the Rfam family "Bacterial small subunit ribosomal RNA", at positions 28 to 507 of the family's 1533-position model. The record is from RNAcentral.
GACGAACGCUGGCGGCGUGCUUAACACAUGCAAGUCGAGCGGAAAGGCCCUGCUUUUGUGGGGUGCUCGAGUGGCGAACGGGUGAGUAACACGUGAGUAACCUGCCCUUGACUUUGGGAUAACUUCAGGAAACUGGGGCUAAUACCGGAUAGGAGCUCCUGCUGCAUGGUGGGGGUUGGAAAGUUUCGGCGGUUGGGGAUGGACUCGCGGCUUAUCAGCUUGUUGGGGUGGUAGUGGCUUACCAAGGCUUUGACGGGUAGCCGGCCUGAGAGGGUGACCGGCGACAUGGGGACUGAGAGACGGCCCAGACGGGUACGGGAGGCAGCAGGGGGAAAUAUGGCACAAUGGGGGGGAGCCUGAGGCAACAACGCCGCGAGCGGGAUGACGGGCUUCGGGUUGUGAACAGCUUUGGCCUGUGACGAAGCGUGAGUGACGGUAAUGGGUAAAAAAGCACCGGCUAACUACGUG